RNAcentral lists this long non-coding RNA (28995 nucleotides) under Lactuca sativa (garden lettuce). Its description in RNAcentral is "long non-coding RNA (LSAT_LNC002952)". The record is from RNAcentral. Lineage: Eukaryota; Viridiplantae; Streptophyta; Magnoliopsida; Asterales; Asteraceae.
ACCAGUGGCCAAGAUAAAGUCUAUUAGGGUUCUGUUAGCCAUUGCUGCAUUUCAUGAUUAUGAAAUAUGGCAAAUGGAUGUCAAAACUGCCUUCCUUAAUGGAAAGUUGGCUGAGGAUGUUUACAUGGUUCAGCCAGAGGGUUUUGUCAGUACAGAGUACCCCAAUAGAGUGUGUAAGCUCGAGAAAUCCAUUUAUGGAUUGAAACAGGCACCUCGCAGAUGGAAUCUUUGCUUUGAUGAGAAAGUCAAGGAAUUUGGCUUUUCAAGGAGUGAAGAUGAAUCUUGCGUCUAUAUCAAGGCUAGUGGGAGCAUAGUCAGUUUUUUGGUACUGUAUGUGGAUGACAUACUACUCAUAGGAAAUGACAUCCCAACCUUGCAGGAAGUAAAGUCCUGGCUUGGGAAGUGUUUUGCUAUGAAGGACCUUGGUGAAGCUGCCUAUAUCCUAGGGAUAAGGAUUUUGAGAAACAGGAGUAAAAGACUAAUUGGACUUAGUCAAAGCACCUAUGUGGACAAAGUGUUGAAAAGAUUCAACAUGCAUAACUCCAAGAAAGGUGAGUUACCUAUUCAGAGUAAUGCCAGAUUGAGUAAGACACAAAGCCCUAGCACUGAGGCUGAGAUAGCAGAAAUGAGUCGACUACCUUAUGCUUCAGCUGUAGGAUCGAUCAUGUAUGCUAUGACGUGUACUCGACCUGAUGUAGCCUUUGCUUUAAGCAUGGUUAGCAGGUAUCAGGGGAACCCUGGCAAGGAACACUGGACUACGAUAAAGAAUAUCCUCAAGUACCCGCGAAGGACUAAGGACUGGGUACUUACUUUCGGUGGGAGUGAUGACUUGAGAGUUGUAGGGUAUAGUGAUGCUAGCUUCCAGACUGAUAGGGAUAAUUUCCGCUCUCAGUCGGGCUGGGUCUUUACCCUAAACGGAGGAGCAAUUUCUUGGAAGAGUUCCAAGCAAGAGACAGUGGCAGAUUCAACUUGUGAAUCAGAGUAUAUAGCAGCAAGCGAGGCAGCAAAGGAGGCUAUAUGGCUAAAGAACUUCAUCGGAGACCUUGGAGUUGUACCAGCUAUAAAAGAGCCAAUGGAGAUUUUCUGUGACAGCAAUAGUGCGGUUGCCUUAGCCAAGGAACCAAGGGAUCACGGGAGAUCCAGACACAUCGACAGAAAAUACCAUUUUAUCAGACAUCGAAUUGAAGAAGGACUCCUCAUGGCGAAGAGGGUAUCAUCGGAUGAGAACCCGGCAGAUCCCCUCACGAAGGGACUGAGUAGGGUUAAGCAUCUCCAGCAUGCUCGGAGCAUAGGGCUGAAGGAUGAUAUAAGUUUUAGUAGUUAGAUAACCCAGAAAUUUGUAAAGUGUAAUUGACAUUUGAUGAUGAAUAAAAGGUGUUUUAUUUAUGAGUAAAGUGUUGCUAUCUCUUGUCGAUCGUUUACUAUAUUUCUUUUGCAUGUUUUGACUUCCAGAAUAAUUAUGUUUGGUAUAUCAUAUUAUUCAAACCUCCACAGUCGGUCAUAUGUCGGAAGUAGGUAUGAAUCAAGACUGUCAUGAUUGGUUGCAGAGGUCUAAGGUGUUGGACAAGGCUACAACAAUCAUGAGUGCUCAUAAGUUCUGAGCAUUGGACUCAACCCACGCUCACUGGAAUCACUUCAUGGAAUUUUAUCUCGAGUGAUCGUGAGACGGUAAUAUCAUAUAAGUCUUCAAACCUAGAGAUAUGAUUUGUUACUUACGAGUUGGUUAUGCAUUGAUUGUACGAAAACGCAUUGGUAACUCGAUGUUAUAAAACGUGCUUUUGUGUGUAAUUCAAUGAGUGGUAGAACAAACAUAUGAGUCGAAGUUUAUCUGUUCCUUCUUGGAUUAGAAGCUGAUAUCUGGGCCACUCGAUGAUUUUGUUUUGACCUAUGUACCGGGCCCGGUCAGAACUAAGUUGAUGUGUUCAAUUAAGUUCUUUGUCAAACAAAUCAGAAAUCGGGAAACAAACUGCUGGACAAUAAGUAAGACAAUGUUCCAUGUAUUUGUCCGGCUGAUAUCUAGAACAGAGGAUUAUAUGAUCACUUAUCUAAAUGGCGCGUUCUAGUUCAACAGAGUUUAAAGAGCUACGAUUGCUGAUCGGUUCCUGAAGUUAUACUUGCAAAUAUAGUUACUAGACUUAUCCAAGUGGGAGACUGUUGGAUAUAGUGUCUAAGUCCAUAACUAUAUUUGGUAUGUACUUGACCCGACCCGGCAUGGUCCAUUUGGGUUGCACUUCACCCGAACAAUUAUUGGAUAAUAUUUGAGAAUAGUACAGGUUAUGAUUUAUUAAUAUAUUAUAAGUUCUAAUAUAUUAAUAUAAGAUCAUAUUAUUUAAUUAGUAGUGAUCUGUAAUUAAUCUAGGAUUAAUUUAGUGAUCAAAGAUAUUACUAAUUAAAUAUGGGCUUCUAUAUUUAUAUAGUGUGGGCUAGUGCUUAUUUGGAAUGGGCUAGGCUUGCAUGGAAAAGUCCAUGGAUACUCCAUGGAGCUUUGACCCAUGGAUCUCAUGGAAAUGAAGAGACAUGGGUAUUAGGGUUUACAUGGAUGUAACCCUAAUCCACCACACUAUAUAAAGGAGGCUUUGGUUCUUGAAAUCAUACUAGUUGACACUUGUUGAGGUGAGGCCGAUUUCAAGAUAGUAGUAUCUAUUCUCUCAAAGUUCCAAGUUUGUGGUGAUUUGUGAUUUCCACUUGAGGCAUCCACACUAUUGGUGCUAGGCUCUAAAACUCCAAGCAAUCAAUACACCUUCAAAGGUAAGCAUUUCUACUAGCUUUAUUUGAUUCAUGUUCCCCAUGCCAUGCUAGUUAGGAUAUGAACCUUGGAAAAAUAAUUAUUUGCAUGUAUCUUAGACAAACAUAGAUCCAAGGUUUAUUAGGGUUGCAUGUACACUUAGGAAGUGUUAGAAUGCUCAAAACCCAACACCUAUAGGGACCGAACUGCUGAGGAACCGAAACCUUUAGGACCGAACCCGAACCUUGCACUUGGGACCGAACCGAACUUCUAGCCUUCGGACCAAACCUCCUCUCGCCUUAGUUCAAUUUUGACCACCUUCGCCUUCGGUUCCCACCAAGCAACCGAACCCUCGCACCUUCGGUCCCCCAUGCGAGAAGCCUCGCAAACUUCGCCUUUCUUCCCGGUUUUUGACUAGUUUUGAGUUCUAAGCCUGAUUUAAAUUAUUUUAUCGUGGGGUUUUCAACCAAAAACAUAUUUUAACAUAUAAAACCCCUUAUUUCAUAAUUAAUCACGUUUUGAGGCAUAAUCCUUAUCCAAGAAGAGUGGGUGGGAUAUUAUUGGUGGAGUGCUGACUUUGCUUUAGUGUAUGACACAAGCAACCACCCCAUUCCCACUCAAUGACCAACUCUUGUCCUUCCACCAUACCUAGUCAUUGCAUAGUACUCUUCCUACCAUUUUCCUGCCACACACUUGGGCAAGGGCUAGAAAAACCUCCUCUCUCCUCACAUUUCUCUCAGUUUCCACCAAAGAACAAACUUCAUUCUCUCUCACUUUCUCUCUCUAAAUUUCGAGAUUCAAGGCUAUUCUCCAAGAUUUUCUUCUACUUUUGGUAAGUAUUAUCAUCCUUCAUAUGAUUAUUCUACCUUUUUCUAUUCAAAUCAUAGGUUGCUUACACAAACUUCAUCAUAUGUGUGUUAGUUCAUCGAAUCUUCAAGCUAUCUUCUAAGUGUUCUUGAGUUGAACACUUCUUUUCUUCAUCAUCCAUCUACUAAAAUAACUCAAGGUGAGUUCAUACCCCUACAUUUUCAUGUUUUCUUCAUGUUUUAGAGGGGGGGGGGGGAAACAAAUUAAAACACCAAAAACUUAACUAAACUCAAACAACAGCUUUCAUUUGAAAAGUUGAGUCUUAUUCACGGACUGUUUUGACUACCUUAAACUUAAUAUCUUUCAAAACUGUUUAAUAUGAAAAUAGUUGAGGUUCAUACCUUUAAAGUUAAUACUUUCAAAUCUCCAUAAGAUUCUACGAUUUAUGGUGAUUUUUACAAAACUUCCUAUCAUUUCAGAAACGAAUUCGGACCAGUCUGCGAAUAUGAACAUUUUAACACAAGUAAAGACUUCUAAAAAUCAUAAUAAAAAUUAUGACUAAACUAGACACAUUUUGUGAACUCCCAAAAUUUACGGAUUCAGUUUUCGACUUCGUAUGAUUUUUCUAUGACUUUUCUAAAACAGUGUUGAAAGGCUAAAACUAGAUAAUAACCUAUAACAUUCAUAACACUUUGUAUUAUGUUGAGCAAAGUGUAUAAAAGUAAGUUCUAAAUAUUUAAUGUAUUUUAUUGUUAGUUUAUCAUCAUAAGCUGAAAGUUAGUCAUUCAUGAUAAGGAUUCUUCAUUCAUUCGAACACAUAUAAUAAGCUAUAAUAAGCAUAGUUUAUGGAUUUUUACUACAUGAGAAAGGUUUUACUCUCAAAACAAACGGUUUUUCAUAUACUACAUAAUAGUAAUAGUUUAUGGACUCAUAUAACUAAUUUAUUUUCAUAAAAGGGGUUCUUUUACAUUACAAAUGUUUCGGAUAAACUAUAAUAAGUAUAGUUUAUGUACCAAUUAUAUUUCAAACUUAUUUACCAAACGUUUUUAGUUCAUUUCACGUAAAUCUGUUAAUAAAUAAAUUUGUGAGACAUUCGCUUCGUGUUACCUUCAUAGUAACAAAGUCAAAAGUCCUGUAAAUUGUAACCAAAGUCUCUUGUAGGGAGAGCCUAAUAGUUGUGUAUAGAUCUAUAUUGGGUCUGACAAGCCCGCACCUGAGCUGAAUGCAACAACUAGACCGGCAGGUCUGAGGUGACAAGUGUCAUUUAACUUGCGACGCCUGAAGAACGUCAUAUUAUGAGGUCGUCCGAGUCUUAGCAUGGUUAUAAUAGCUCACAUGUGGUAUUAAAAAAUCAUAAGAUUUAUGGGUUUUACUUUUAAAUUAGCGAGUUAUAUGAAUUUAACUCACAUGAAUUACUUUAAGUAUGGAAAAAUACUUGUAUAUUUCGGUCAGGAAAUCUAAGGCUACAUAAAAUUUAUAAGGAAAAUAUUGGAUUUUCUUUGGAAACAUAUUUCUGUUAAAUUUCAUUUCAUCUAGAAUUGUUAGACUUCAGAUAUAAUCGCUAAGUGUAUAUGCUAGGGUGAUAUUAGAAUCUAGUCACAAUCGACUUAGAAUUGGUUGGCCCGCCUUAUCUCCUGUUCCUUGUUUGGUUGUGGACCUAGGGUAGACCCAUUAUAUCCAACAGUUUAUUUAACUUAAAAUUUAUAUAGCUUAUAUAUGUUGGGCGAUUAUAGAAGGAAUCUACGGGUCCUUCUAGGGUACAUUAUCGUAUAACAUAGAAGCAUUCAUUUCCCACUUAAUAAAGAAAAUAUUGGAUUUUCUGCAAACUUACUCUGUCGCUUUUUCAAAGAAAACGGUUUCUUUAUCAAACAAAACUCUUAUGAACUCACGAACUUAAUUGUUGCCACUUUUUCAAAACUACUUGUAUACUUAGGAAAUUAGUGAAACAGGAAAACCAACAACAUUUUGAGGAUGGGACGAUAAAUUUUCAAACAGUUCAUUUUGUCAUCAUAGUCAGGUCUAGGAAUGACAUAGCCUGAUCAACUAUGUCUAUCCUAGAAGUGAUUAGCAUGUGCCCGGGAAUGGUUGUGUUAUUACAACAAGUCUAAAAAGUUACCAACUCUAUCUACAAAGAAACAUUAAAACACAUAAGACAAACAUUAAAAAUACUAUAGGAGUAUUUGGGGAUACUAUAAUCAACUUAUGUGAAAACUAAAGACCCCUAUUAGUAGGUCUAUAAUGACCGACUGCAUACACAAAGGUUAUACAUAAUUAAGGAUACUAUAGACUAAGAAUCUAUGACUAUUGCUCUACUUCCUGUUCCUUGUUUGGUUGUGGACUUAGAGUAGAGUCAUUUAUUCGAAGGUCUACUCUAUCUCAGAUUGUGUAUAAUCUGUAUGCACUAUGUGAUUAUAGACGUGACUGAUAAGAAUCACCCCUAUAAGUAAUUCUAGGAUUAGACGUCUAUUAAUUAUCUCUUUCACCCCUAUUCUCGCACGGACAUCAUGACAAGAUGUUACAUACUAGGAGAACCCUACUUUCCGAACCCGGAGAGUUAGUGAGUGAUGAGGAAAGGAGUCAGAGGUGGUGCCAGUGGUCGAAAACUCUCCUCACAUAGCUUGGGCUCUCGCGAACCGUCUCAAAUCCAUCAAACCUGUGCCCCGUUGGGCAGCAUUGAUCGAGGGAUGGAGUCGCCAUCAGCAACAACAACUCGCCAUUUGGGGACGUAUUAUCGUAAGCAUAGUUCAUUUUACUCACAAGACCUUGUAGAUUAGGUCUAUGAGUAUGUGUUGGUGUUACUCCCCUGCAUGUGUAGGCCCGACCCCACAAGUUAGUGAUUACACUACUCGAGAGAUUCAUUUGCGGUCCAAACUUUUAUUGCAAUGAUGUGGUGUGGACCUGCAUCAGGCUCAAAACCUUCCUCUAAAAACUAAAUAUGCUGAAGUAAUACAAAUAAAAGGGGCAUGCGUAAUAUUUCUUUGGGAGCAAUACUACUAAAAUUCAUAAGUUUAUCAUAUAUAGACUCUCGUUAUGAACUGUUUUCAGAACACCAUAAACAACUGGAACAUGACACACUCAGAGCUAAGAUAAAUAACUCCGGGUGUAUAAACCCUUAUUCAAGACUCACUAUCACCUCACCUUUUUAAGCAUCAUAGUUAAAAGGUGCCCUUUUCGUAGACCUAUGAGGGUGCGAUCAUAUCAGUACUAAUGCAUUGUGUCCUAUCAAAACUCCUCAGCCAGGUAUGUUUGGACAAACAUGAUCCCAAGAUGAGUAAAGCAUAACUCCCGUAUGAAACCUACUUCUACCCACUACCAUAACUCCGUCUUAGGGACGUUAGCAGAAACACCGAGAAUAGUUCAGUAAAGUGAUAAAUUUAUAUAUGUGUAUAUAAAUGGUAAGGAUAUAACUAGAGAUAAUCAUCCCUACUCAUGACAUCGUUUCUCUCCAUGCAACAUGAUUAUGUCUUCACAAGAAGGUAACCAGCCAACAAGCAAGGCAACAAUCCUGCAGAUACACCCUGCUACCUUUCAAGCUACAGUCACGGCAGCAGUGACAACCGUCAUGGCGCAACUCAAUGCUAACAAUUCCAACAGAGAUGGAAGCGGUAUCAAUAAUACAAAUUGUUGUAACAAUCAGGAACAUCGACGGGUGUCUGCCCAUGAAGGCGCCUCGGGCCACAAACCUACGAACAAGAAGCAAAAGUUUUGGAACAAAAAGGAACGCAACCGAUCUCAGGGAUUCGCUAAAAGACAACAGCCCAUGGCCACCCCUGCCAUUACAAUAGCAGUCACGACACAUGCCUCGGCACUAGCCACAAGGUCUAUCACCCAAGCACCGACCAGACCAUAUAAGGGAUCACUCCCAAGGUGUAACAAGUGUGGCUACCAUCACAAUGGGGUUUGUCGGGUGAUGCAUUGUAAAAACUGCAACAAGAACGAACAUACUGCCCGCUUUUGCAGAAACCAGACUCAACAUCUCGCUUCAACCACCAACACCUGGGUAGGCCCAUGAUGCUACCUAUGCGGUGAAACGGGACACUUCAAGAGAGAAUGUCCAACUGAGAAGAAUGACGGGGGAGAAGGAGGAGUGUGAUGAACAAACCAGCAGGAGCACCAAGGGAACGCUAUUAGGACUUUUGUAAUUUUCCCAACGACAAAACGUUUAAGUACCAUAUAUUUGUUAUGAAUUUGGUAUGCUUGCUAAAAUUACCGUCUUUCUAAAAGUAGUUAAAAUUCUCUUUCAUCCAAAUCAAAUCAAAGACACUCAUAUAUGACCUUAGGAUCAUUACCUGUAAGCUGUGAUGACUUUGUACAUACAUCGGGGUUAAUUAUAAUCAAAAUACUAAAGACUUAAAGCAAAUAAUUCCAUCCUGACUCCUAUUCCAUGUCUAGUAGUGGGAUUAGGGUGGAGCCACCACUCGAUGAUUUCACCAAUAUCAAAUUACAUGCGACGUACAUAUAUCACUCGAUCAUAGAGUGACCUAUCAGGGAUCAUGAUAUCAAGUAUCAUUGCUAGCAAUCAGAACACACUCACCACUAGUGCUCGACACUGUGGUAUGAAUCAUCUGCAGUAAUAAUAACAUCGAACAAAAUGGAGCACACUGAAAAGAAACACAAGAUACCCAAUCACCCUAAUGAUCACUUCUUACGAAUACAGCUUAACACAUGUUUUACAUAAAAACAUAUUGUUUUCACCAUUCAAUUUUGAUUGGUAUAGUUCUCAUCUUCCCGAUUUAACGGCUAUGAAAGGACCCUUCACCUAACCCACCGGAUAUCGAAACCGUCGUCUCUCACGACCCUAAAUCUUACUUUGACUCUCUUGUCAUCCUUCAUUGCGAAACCCCAAAACACUCUCUGGAGUUGUGUUAUACCUUCUGUAACCUUUUCAAUUUAUUCCUAGUAAACCCUUCGAGGAUAUCACUCAUAUAUCUGGUCAAGAUCAAGCAUGGAAGCUUGGGACAAAUAUGGUUAGUCUAUCACUACUAUGUGUAUAUACGAGGAUAAUAUAUAAUUAAAGUUCUACGGACAUUGGAUGUGUGCUUCCGCCCUAUUUCCUAUUCCUUGUCUGGUUGUGGACUUGGGGCAGAGUCACCCAUCCAACUGCCUUACCAACCAUAAUUACAUACGACCUAUAUGCGCGAGUUAAUGAUAGAUGGACCAGGUAUGAGUCCUACCAGGAACUUCGAGACAAGACUACCCAGAAGUGCGAUUGAACGUCCUACCAUUCAAAUUAAUCUAAGUCGUGUAAAUUGAACCCACAUGCUUCCUACCGAUCUAACCGACAAACGAGAAACACUACAGCAGGCCUUAUACAACGCUCCGAGAAGAAGUUAUUACUUAUGACUUAUGAUAGCUAAAGACGUACGGUCAGCUAGGUCACGCGUGACCUCGAACUAGGGGUGGUAGCAUUCACCCUAGAGAUCUAGAGACACUAUCUCCAUGAUACGAAGUGUAUAAUCUUCACUGAUCAUAAGAACCUAGAAGGAAAGGACGGUAGGGCGUGCUAUCUCAUGAACCGGAUCUGGACGCUGAUGUUGAUGGAAUCAGAAAUGACGUCAUGAACAAAUCAGCACAUUUCCUUCCGAUAAAGGAAACCAAUAAGAUAGAUAAAUUGAGUAGAACGUACAUCAAGGAGAUUGUACGACUGCAUGGCGUACCAAUAUCCAUUAUCUCCGACUGGGAUAGUAGGUUUACCUCAUGGUUUUGGCAAUCAUUACAAAAAUCUCUAGGGACUAGGCUUGACAUGAGUACGACCUACCAUCCACAAACCGACGGAUAGAGCGAGCGAACCAUACAAACGCUAGAAGAAAUGUUGAGAGCUUGUGUGAUAGAUUUUGGUAAAGCAUGGGAUACCCAUUUACCACUUAUCGAAUUCUCCUACAAUAACAAUUUUCACAUUAGCAUCAAAGUUGCUCCAUUCGGAGCUCUUUAUGGUAGCAAGUACCGAUCACCCCCGUAUUGGGCAGAAGUGGGGGACACACGGCUAGCUAGGGGGCAAGUCCCUAAUAGCACCCUCACUGGUCCUGAAAUCAUAAGGGAGACCACAGAAAAGAUUGUUCAAAUUCGGGAAAGACUAAAAGCAUCCCGAGAUCGGCAAAAGAGUUACGCGGAUAAGCGAAGCAAACCCUUGGAAUUCUAGGUCAGUGAUCGGGUACUAUUGAAAGUUUCCCCUUGGAAAGGAAUGAUACGCUUCGGUAAAUGUGGGAAACUAAACCCAUGGUACAUCGGACCAUUCGAAAUCCUUGCCAGGAUUGGCCCAAUGGCGUACAAACUCCGAUUACCACAAGAACUAAAUCAAGUACAUCCUACCUUUCACGUGUCAAACCUAAAGAAGUGUCUGUCUGACGAGACUCUCAUGAUACCCCUCGACGAAAUUGAAAUUAACGAGAGUCUCCACUUCGUGGAAGAACCAGUUGAAAUCAUGGAUCAGGAGAUCAAAAGAACGAAACAAAGUCGUAUUCCCAUUGUGAAGGUUCAUUGGAACGCUAAACGAGGACCCAAGUUCACCUGGGAACGCGAGGAUCAAAUGAAACAAAAAUACCCACAUCUCUUCCCGAACUCUUGAAGUCCCAGUCAAAAUGAAAAUUUCGGGACAAAAUUCCUUCUAACGAGGGGAUGAUGUGACAACCGUCAAAUUCUGAUCAAGUCAAAGUUAAACAAAGUCAACAAGUCAAACCAGUCAACUCAGUUAACCCUUAUAUACUAGAGUUUACGUUAUGUAAUUACUGUACAACUUGCUAUUCUAAUGAGAAAUCGACAAUUGAAAAGUUCGUAUAUCCAGAUUUUCUUAACCUAAAAUUGUGGUAAAUAAUGAACCAAAGCGAUAAAACAAUAUUGCAUACUCAUUGGGAGUGUGUAAGAUCCUUAAACAUGGCUUAACGAGAUUUACGGACCUUGCGUUGUGAAGCCAAACACUCAAAAAUGUCACAAAAGAAGCCUCUCCCAGUCUCUUUCACUCUAUCUCUCUCUGUUAAAAUCUCUCCCAAAUCUCUCUCAAAAGUUCCUUUAACUUUUUGUAAUCAUUCGGGUCAUCCUGACCAUUAAUUGGGUCAAAAACCACUUAAAACGGGGUAAAAAUGGGAAAAAUAGCCUUAAGGAACCGUAACCCCUCUUUAUGGGGCGAACCCUCUUAGAACCGAAGGUCCCUAUAGGGACCGAACUGCUGAGGAACCGAAACCAUCAGGACCGAACCCGAACCUUGCACCAGGGACCAAACCGAAAUUCUAGCCUUCGGACCGAACCUCCUCUCGCAUUCGAUCUAUUUCACUUCUCGGCCAAGUUCGCUUCUGACCACCUUCGCCUUCGGUUCCGACCAAGCAACCGAACCCUCGCACCUUCGGUCCCCCAUGCGAGAAGCCUCGCAAACUUCGCCUUUCUUCCCGGUUUUUGACUAGUUUUAAGUUCUAAGCCUGAUUUAAAUUAUUUUAUCGUGGGGUUUUCAACCAAAAACAUAUUUUAACAUAUAAAACCCCUUAUUUUGUAAUUAAUCAUUUUUUGAGGCACAAUCCUUAUCCAAGAAGAGUGGGUGAGAUAUUAUUGGUGGAGUGUUGACUUUGCUUUAGUGUAUGACACAAGCAACCACCCCAUGCCCACUUCAUGACCAACUCUUAUCCUUCCACCAUACCUAGUCAUUCCAUAGUACUUUUCCCACCAUUUUCUAGCCACACACUUGGUUAAGGGCUAGAAAACCCUCCUAUCUCCUCACAUUUCUCUCAUUUUCCACCAAAGAACAAACUUUAUUCUCUCUCACUUUCUCUCUCUAAAUUUCGAGAUUCAAGGCUAUUCUCCAAGCUUUUCAUCUACAUUUGAUAAGUAUUAUCAUCCUUCAUAUGAUUAUUCCACCUUUUUCUAUUCAAAUCAUAGGUUGCUUACACAAACUUCAUCAUAUUUUUGUUAGUUCAUCGAAUCUUCAAGCAAUCUUCUAAGUAUUCUUGAGUUGAGCACUUCUUUUCUUCAUCAUCCAUCUACUGAAAUCACUCAAGGUAAGUUCAUACCCCUACAUUUUCGUAUUUUCUUCAAGUUUUUAGGGGGGGGGAUACAAGUUAAAACACCAAAAACUUAACUAAACUCAAACGACAGCUUUGAUCAGAAAAGUUGAGUCUUAUUCACGGACUGUUUUGGCUACCUUAAACUUAAUAUCUUUCAAAAAUGUUUAAUAUGCAAAUAUUUCAGGUUCAUACCUUUAAAAUGACUACUUGCAAAUAUCCAUACGAUUUUUCUACGAUUUAUGGUUAUUUUUACAAAACUUCCUAUCAUUUUAGAAAUGAAUUCGGACCAGUCUCCGAAUAUGAACAUUUUAACACAAGUUACAGACUUCUAAAAAUCAUAAUAAAAAUUAUGACUGAACUAUACACAUUUUGUGAACUCCCAGAAUUUACAGAUUCAGUUUUUCAGUUCGUAUGAUUUUUCUAUGACUUUUCUAAAACAGUGCUGAAAGGCUAAAACCAGAUAAUAGCCUAUAACAUUCACAACACUUUGUAUUAUGUUGAGCAAAGUGUAUAGCAGUAAGUUCUAAAUAUUUAAUGUAUUUUAUUGUUAGUUUGUCAUCAUAAACUGAAAUUUAGUCAUUCAUGAUAAAGAUUCUUCAUUCAUUCGAACACAUAUAAUAAGCUAUAAUAAGCAUAGUUUAUGGAUUUUUACUAAAUGAGAAAGGUUUUACUCUUAAAACAAAUGGGUUUUUCAUAUACUACAUAAUAGUAAUAGUUUAUGGACUCAUAACACUAAUGUAUUUUCAUAAAAGGGGUUCUUUUACAUUACAAACGUUUCGGAUAAACUAUAAUAGGUGUAGUUUAUGUAUCAUUUACAUUUCAAACUUAUUUACCAAAGGUUUUUAGUUCAGUUCACGUAAAUCUGUUAGUUAAUAAAUUUUGAGACAUUCGCUUCGUGUUACCUUCAUAGUAACAAAGUCAAAAGUCCUGUAAAUUGUAACUAGAGUCUCUUGUAGGGAGAGCGUGAUAGUUGUUUAUAGAUCUAUAUUAAGUCUAACAAGCCUGCACCUGAGCUGCAUGCAACAGCUAGACCGGUAGGUCUGAGGUGACAAGUGUCAUUUAACUUGCGACGCCUCAAGAACGUCAUAUUACGAGGCCGUCCGAAUCUUAGCAUGGUUAUAAUAGCUCACAUGUGGUAUUAACAAAUCAUAAGAUUUAUGGGUUUUACUUUAGUGAGUUAUAUCAAUUUAACUCACAUGAAUUACUUUAAGUAUGGAAAAAUACUUGUAUAUUUCGGUCAGGACAUCUAAGGCUACAUAACUUCUAUAAGGAAAAUAUUGGAUUUUCUUUGGAAACAUAUUUCUGUUAAAUUUCAUUUCAUCUAGAAUUGUUAGACUUCAGAUAUAAUCGCUAAGUGUAUAUGCUAGGGUUAUAUAAAAAUCUAGUCACAAUCGACUUAGAAUUGGUUGGCCCGCCUUAUCUCCUGUUCCAUGUUUGGUUAUGGACCUAGGGCAGACCCAUUAUAUCCAACAGUUUAUUUAACAUAAAAUUUAUAUAAUUUAUAUACGUUGGGAAAUUAUAGAAGGAAUCCACGGGUCCUUCUAGGGUACGUUAUCGUAUGACAUAGAAGCAUUCAUUUCCUACUUAAUAAAGAAAAUAUUGGAUUUUCUGCAAACUUACUCUGUCGGUUUUUCAAGGAAAACGGUUUCUUUCUCAAACAAAACUCUUAUGAACUCACCAACUUAAUUGUUGACACAUUUUCAAAACUACUUGUAUUCUCAGGAAAUCAGUGAAACAGGAAAACCAACACCAUUUUGAGGAUGGGACGAUAAAUCGUCAAACAGUUCAUUUUGUCAUCAUAAUGUAAUUGAUUUUGAAUCAUGUAAACUUAUUCCAUGGUGUAACUUUUUCAAUUAUAUUUAUGAUGGUUGUAUUUACUUUGAACACUAUUAUACUCAUUGUUGUGAUACUAUACAGGAUGUCCGCCACCCCCGGACGUUUCUGCCAUCCUUGGUUUGGAGGUGUGACAAUAGAUCAGGUUGUAAACGGUGCGAGCCAUCAUUCUUCUUGACAAAAAGGAUCGGUGCAACCCAAUGAUGUUGAGAGAAAAACUUGAGUCACACUUGAACAAACAUUAGAACAAGUUAUAAUGCGGAAUAAAGUUUAACUCAAAGGAUCAUUAAAGCUCAACGUUAAUAGUAAGUUAGAGUUAGAAGAUUAGAUAGUUAGAUGCCGAAAUGUAAGGAAAUAAAAAGACAACAAAUAUUUUAACAAGUAUACACGUAAGUUGAUUCAUAACAAGGAAUGCAUUCAGACCAAGUUAGUAAGUGAGAUCAAACUUAGUGAUUAAGUCUAGAUAGACUUGCUCCGAAGAGAGAUUUCAACCAAUUACUAUUCUGUUUAAGUGAUAAGUGAGAAGUGAGUAAAAUGAGUAAAAGUAUUCAAGAUGCGUAAGAGAAGUUUUUUUUAUAGAAAGAGAGAGAGCUCUAUUUAUAGAGUCUCAAGGAUUACAAAUAGUCUAAUAUGUUAAAGAGUUGCCAUGCAAGGCACAAUAGAUAAAGAAAAGUAGUCAUACAAAAACAGAUAAAAGACUAAACUAAUAAUAGCUGACUGCGGUUGUUGAUCUUUGAUUGCGGUGUUGAGAUUGGUUGUGGUUGCUGAAAGUUGCUUCAGAUCUCUUUUAAGUUUAAGAGGGUCACUUUUAUGUUUCAGCAAUUUCCCCCUUAGCGACCUCUUCAACUUUUCUUCAAGUGUUGAUUUUGAGAAACUUGAUGAGAAUCCACCAGAAUUUCCUGACUUCCUUAAGCCUUAAGCCAUGUGAUUCUUCUUGAGAUUUCAAACUUCACUUCAGCAGUUGUGUGUUUUGAUUUGUUGACUACAGUUUGAGUGAUCUCCAAUUGCUUCCUGGUCAUGCGGUUCAUGGCAGUCAUUGGGAUGAAAUAUUUUGUUUCAUCAUUCUUGCGUUUGAAUAUGACUUCAGGAUCUGGGAAGUUGGUUGAUCCAAGGGAUCUUUCUUGAAAGCCUUUAGUUAGGACCGAAGUUGCCUUAAGGGGAGAAAGGUUGAGCUUUUGAGCAAGUGUCGGGUGGAUAUCCGCAUCGAUCCUUGAAAAAUCACUAACAAUUUCUUUUAGAAAGGUGCAUGACCUUUCAUACGCAACCUGCAUCUUUGGGUGCUUAUCCAUCUUGUUCUGAAAUACCUUUGAAAUCAGGAAGAUUUCUUCCGGGUUCAUGCAAGGAAAAUCAGCUUGGGUUAAGAUGUAAUCUGAGUUUCUUCUGGUGAGAGUAUACUGAAUGAAUUCGACAUUUAUGAAUUUUCGAGGCUUGUAAUUUUUGACUGUAGUGGGCCUAUCAUUUGACCAGAUUUUCUCAAUAGACGACCCAUGCUUGGCAUGAAAUCUCUUGAGUCUUUUAAACACUAAGGGCAACCUUUUAUCAUCGGGAUGACUACGGUCAAAGGAUUCUAAAACAGUGAAGUAUUUGGCAUUUGGUGAGAUGGGGAUGUCCCAGUAACCAUCAUGGGGAGGUUCUGCGUAUGUGAGAUAGGGCUUAUAGUCGUCAUCCAGGAGUCUGCUGUGCGGAUUGAACCUUGAGUUGAUAACAUAUUCAUCCAUUGUAAUAUCAACUCCAUUUUCCCUCCAGAUCAACUCAGCGAAUUUAGCGAAUCUCCAGUUAGCUUUCUUCCGUUUGGUUGCGGGAGAGUCGUUUAAGUGAUCUGAUGACAUGUGAGAAACUAGGUUCUUGAAAUGAGGAGGAGUCUCAGGUCGCUCAGGAGAAUGAUGAGGUUCUUGAAUUGGUGUUUGUUUCGGCAAAGACUGAUGACUUGGACUUCUAUGAGGAGAGGGAACAAAUGUUUUCUUCUAUGGAGAUGGUUGCGGUGUCCGUUGAGGAGUUGGUUCUUUAGACUUGAUGGGAGAGUGCGGAUGAGAGUGUUGAGGAGAAAUUUUAUUUGAGUUAUGGUGAUCUAAUUCAUGGUUUUCACUUCCCCCUCUUGAGGAAGGAGCAAUUGAUACUUCCUCAAGCCAUUGCCUCAUGCCAUCAAUUAUGCCACAGACUUCAUCAAAUUGAGCCUUUAUAGCAUCAACGUGUUGUUGGUUGUUUGGGAUUGCGGGGUUAAAUAGAUACCGGUGAAUUUCCUUGGUGAGGUGCAGGAUUUUGGAACCGUGAAAGUUGGAGGAUAGUGAUUGGUGGAGGCUAUUGAUGGUUGACUAUAGAAUCGAAAUUGCAGAUUCAUACGCAUUGUGUGUCUCUUCAACAACUUUCUGUGACUGAGCAGACUGAUCCUUAAUGAUUUUUUGAAGAUCCGAUUUGAUGGAGGAUACUUCAGAGAUAAGUUUCUCAGCAGUGGUGAUGAAAUGUUGAUGAUCAGUUCCGCGGUUGUUGUCUAGGGCUCGGAUGCCCAUUUCCACCUUGAGGGAGAUGUGUUCUGUAACAAGAUUCUCUCUGGCCUCCAGUCUUUCAAUGCAAUCGAUGAGAGACUGCGAACCAGGCGAGUCUUCAGACCGCGGUUGAGAAGAUUUGAUAGCAGCAAGAAUCUGAUCCACUUUAUCUUGUAGAGAUAGGAAUUAUUUUCUGGAAACUGCUUGCUUCUUCUUCUUCUCCUUGGGCUUAGAAGUGGAAUGCUGAGAACCGUUGGAUUCCUCUUCUUCAUCAAAAAUCAUCAUUGGAUCAUUCGAGGGGUCUCGCCGAUUUACUUCAUUCAUGUCAAAGUUGUCGAAGCCAAAGGUUGAUGUAGAACUGACUUCGAUUGCGGUUCCUUCUUCUUGAGAGUUAUUAGUAGCAGUUGUUGGAGGGGGCCUGGAUGAUCCUGCACCAUUGGGAUUGGAUUGGGCUUUACGGAUGGUCUUGGCCAUUUCAUCCAUCGAGUUCUAGACUUUGAGAACUGUAGCCACCGUGUUGGCAUUGUUUAUGGCGUCGACCCAACAUUUGGCUACAGUUUGAAUCUCCUGCUGCUUUUGUUGAAGUUGCUUGGUUUGGUGAUCUUUUCUUGCUUGAAAUGCCCUUCAAAAAGCGGCAUACUUUUCGACUUCUGAAUUCUGAAUCAGCGACUGGAUUGUAAUGUCUCCAGGAAUCAUUUGAUUUAUCACCGUCAAAUCCUUGAAAACGCACCGAGGUGUCCCUCGGGUUCACAAAUCCUUGCACAUUUGUGCUCACUAUGCCUAAACCACCUGAAAAAGAUGGAAUCAGAGUAGGAUUUCUGGAGCGUCCUUGGUCUCCUUGAACCAUGGUCAAGUUUGGCCUCGGCUCCGUUCUGGCAUGGGCUGAAGAAUCACCCUGCAGUUGGGUAGGUGUAUUAAGUGUUUGGAUUACAGAGUCUAGAAUGGAGCACAACUCCGGUUCUUGAAAGAAGUGAAGCCUGGAAGCCCUGGAUACCUUAGGGAAAGAAGAACCAAUUAGAUCCUCUUGGGAUCUAGUUGGGGAUGAGUCUCGACAUUGAGAUGAAUCGUGCACACUUGCUGUGCUCGAGUAGCUAGAUAGGGUAGUAGCGAAUGGGUUUGCGGGUACCCCAAGGACUACCGGAGCCUUUUGAGAGGCUAGGGUAUCAGUCUGGUCACACAUAUGGGAAGUGGAUUUGGUUUUCUUUUUCUUGAGAAUGGUGAUUGGAGUAGUUUCUAGAUCAGAAUCAUCAGAAGAUUGAUCUGAGUCACCAUCUGAUGAAACAGCUUGUUGGAGUUUACAUUUCUUAGAGGGUUCUGCUUCCUUGGAAGGUUUGAUUUUCUUAGGUGCUUUACGUUUUUGGGUGUUUCACCCAGGGCAUGAGUUUUUCCCUUGUUGUAGGGGCCUUGCUUGGCUGAGGCUAGCUUCUUUUGUAUUUGAGCUAAGGGAAUAUGAGAUAAGGUAGUAGAGGAAGGAACUACGGAUUGCUCUGGUAGAGUGGGUGCGGUAGAGGUUAAAAUGCUUUGGCUGGGGAGAGGCGGGGUAAAAAGGUAUGGGUCAAUACCUUCCGUAGCCUCAAUAUGGUCUGUGACUAAUUAGGUCUCAAGUCCAACCGUAUUCAAGAUGUGAAUGGACAAACAUCUAAUUGGUCCAAAGAUAUAUUGGUCAUUAGAAGGAGCGUACCUGUUGAGAUUGCGGGUGAUGAAGAAGUUGAUGUCAUUGCCCAUACUGAUCUUGGCGUUUAAAUGAAGAUCUAAAAUGCAGAGCGCCCAAAACCUUGCAAAGGUAAGCUUGGUUUGAUUUUCCUUUCGAUUCUCCUUAGGGAUGUACUGGAGAAAGUCACCCUAAAGAAUCUGACCGUAGUUAACAUCAUGGCCUGUGAAGAUGCUCCAUACGAGCUCAAGUAGGUUGAGGCCCAUGAUAUCUAUGCCUCCGGUUCUACCAGAUAAACUGCGGAUCACGAAAUGACAUACAAAUUUCCAUACUACAGGCAGUUGGUUCUUCUUGAAAUCUCAUAUUCCUUUGAUCUUCUUCUGAUAUCCCAUUUGAUACAGGGUGGAGGUGAUGUUUGUAACACUGGGUAAGAAGAACUUUGUGGAGGGAUGCACGAGUAGGUUCAUUGCAACAAGAAACUUGUCUUUGGUCAAGAUGACCAGGGAGUCGUCCACUAUAUUCAGAUGAACUUCUGGAUUUUGUUGAGGGGACGAUGUGUAGAAAAGGCACAUUUGAACAAUGUGGAGAUGGGAACCACAUCAGUGAAUGCGUCGAAUGGUCCAAAGAGAUGGUGAUUGGAGAUGAAGUUGAUCAUGAGGCGAAUCGAGUCAUUGUAAGUGGGUUGAUCAUCAAAAAUUGCCCUAAAAUUGCUAGACGCGAUCGAAGGCGAUUGGUUUCAUGUAGUUGAAUCGGAACCAGUUGGGUGGGCAGAGACAGAUGCUUUGGAUGGUUUCUUUGAGAUUCCUGAUUUCACCAUUUUGAAAAGAUUGAAGAACUUGCAGGAAAACUUGAGGUGCAAGAGGGAAGAAGGAAGUUGUUCGCCUUUGAGAGAUCAGAAAGCGUAAAGCUUUCUUGGAGACAAAAAGAGGGUUUUUUAUAGUGGCGGAUUUUAAAAAGUUAUUGUUUUUAGCCUUAAAGAAAAGGUGGUUAAGGAUAAAAACCUUUGAGUUUUUUUAUUUUUUAUUUUUUUAAAUUUAAGGAAGUCAUUAUCAGCCACAAAAAAAUAUUUAACGAAAAGUUUUUUUUGUUAGUUUUUAAAAAAAACAUUUAAUGAAAUGUCAGACCCAAUACCCCAUGUCUGAAGAACGUGUGGUGAGGAGCGAUAAUCAGUUGUAUAAAGGAGAAAUUUGUAAUAGAUUUGACAUUUUGGGGUAAGAGGAAAAGACAGUUUAAGGAAAAGAUUUUCUAAAAAGAUUUCUUUUACUGGAAAUUGUUUUAUUUUGGCAUCACACCCAAAAUAGGUCUGAGAAAAGGUUUAUUUGAGAAGUAGAACUGAAACGAUCAUAUGCCAGAAAACGAAUAUUUUGAGAAUGUUUUUUUUUUCUUAUUUAAUGAAGACUCAUUAAAUAGUACACGAUGUUUCAAGAAUUUAUGAAGUAUAUGAGAGUUCCAUAAUCGAGAUUGCGGUUUGAGUCUUCAUUGCAGAUUAAGACUUUAUUGCUGAUUGAGACAUCAUUGCGGAUUGAGACUUCAUUGCAGAUUGAGACUUCAUUGUGAAUUGAGACUUCAUUGCAGAUGACAGGUUAGAUGACUGCGUUUGAGGAAAAUGAGAAGAACACUUGAACAAAAUAAGAAAUAACAACUAAUCAAGGACCCUUGAAAUAUAGGUAUGAUAUAUGGUUGCGGUAUAUUUAGUAUAUUGCGGUACAUAAAAUGUAUUACAAUACACAAGAUAUAAUGAAACUAUAUAAGAUAGAUAUAUUUAGUUAGGACCGCAAUGGCGACCAUGAGUGAUCUGCGGUACCUAUCAAUUCAAGAAGAAUUGCGGGUCUGGAUUCAUCAUUCCUAACAUUUGUUAGAAACUGCUGAGUUUUGUAGAGUCAAGUGCCUUUGUGAACACAUCAGCAAUCACUUCAUGAGUAUGAAUAAAAAUUAGUUCAAUGUUACCUUUCAGAAUGUGAUCUUUAAUGAAGUGGUACCGUAGUUCAAUAUGCUUCGUCUUAGAGUGGUGAAUUGGAUUAUGAGAAAUUGCUAUGGCACUCUGAGAAUCACAGUAAAUCAGUAUGUGCAGCAUCCCAUAUUCAUAGUCCAAAAAGUUGCGUUUUCAUCCAUAAAACUUGUGAGCAGCAGCUGUCUACUGCCACAUAUUCAGCUUAUGUGGUAGACAGUGAGACAUAGCUCUGUUUCCUUGAUGACCAGCUGACGAGUCUUCCAGCGAGAAACUGACAUCCACCUAAAGUGCUUGUGUUGUCCAAUCUACAUCCAGCAUGAUCCGCAUCUGUGAACACUUGUAAGCUGAAGUCGUUUCCUGUGGGAUACCAAAGACCUAGAGACUUGCUGCCUUUUAAGUAUCAUAGGAUCUCCUUGGCUGCGGACAUAUGAGAUACUUUUGGAUCGGCUUGGUAUCUUGCACAUACUCCUGUUGCAAAGACAUUGUCUGGUCGGCUUGCGGCGAGGGGUACAUCAGUGAGCCAAUUAUUCCUCUAUAGGCAUUUUUGUCCACUGAUUCUCCGGAAGGAUCAGUAGAAAUCUUGAAUCUGAAGGCCAUUGGGACUUUGGCAGAGGAAUAGAUGUCCAUUGAGUAUUUCUUCAGUAGUUCAGUGGUGUAUUUCUCUUGAUGGAUGAAUAUCCCUUGAGGGACUUGUUUCACUUGAAGUCAUAGAAAGAAAUUAAUCUCUCUAUUCGUGCUCAUUUUGAAUUUGUUGGUCAUGAGCUUUGCAAAUUCAUCCACCAUCCCCUGAUCCGUUGAUCCGAUGAUGAUAUCAUCCACAUAUAUUUAUACAAGUAUAAGGUGAUUACCAGUUGCCUUUCUAAAUAAAGUGGGAUCAAUCAUUCAUCUUUUGUAUCCGGACGAGAUAAGAAAUUCAGAGAGAGUCUCGUACCAUCCUCUUGGAGCUUGCUUUAGACUGUAAACUGCUUUCUCAAGCUUAUAACAGUGGUCUGGAAAUUUAAUGCUUUCGAAGCCAGGAGGUUGCUGAAGAUAGACCUCCUCUUUCAAUUCACCAUUGAGAAAAGCACUGUUCAUAUCCAUUUGAUGUACUUUAAUGUUCUUGUGAGCUGCGUAUGCUAAGAAGAUGCAGAUGGCUUCCAUUCAUGCUACAGGGGCGUAUGUUUCAUCAUAGUUAAUACCUUCAAGUUGACUAUACCUCUUGGCGACUAGUCUUGCUUUGUUUCUUACUAUCGCACCAGAUUCAUCCAGUUUGUUCUUAUACACCCAUCUGGUACCAACAAUAGUGUGACCUUUUGGCUUUGGAACGAGUUGCCACACUUUAUUUCUUUUAAACUCUUCUAGUUCUUCUUGCAUCUCUAUAAUCCAAUUGGGCUCCAUCAAUGCUUCUUUGAUGGUUCGGGGCCCUACUGAAGACAUAAAUGCAGCAAAGUGACAAUGAUUAGAUAAGUAUCGUGAGGAUCGAGUUUGCAUGCCUGCUGAUGGGUUUUCGAUGAUUUGUUCUGGUGGGUGAUCCUUUGUCCAUACAUGUAGAUGAGGUUGAAGGUGAUGAAUGGCUGCGGUGGAUGGGAUGUCUUCAAUAUCUGAAGAUUCUGCAGUUGGGGAUGGCAGUUCCCCCUGGACUUGUGACCAGCUAACUGAAUUGUCUUGAGUUUGGAAGGUGGCAUUAGAGUUUUCUUCUGAUUGAGGUUCCCUUGGAUUGCGGACGGGAUUUCCUCUUGAAGCUGAGAAGGUUCCCCCUAGAUUUUUGGAAGUAUGAUAACCCUUGGGUCAGUUCUUGUAUCAAUGUUUUCUAUAUUCUCGUCAUCUGAGUCAGAAGAAACAUCUGAUGGUAGAGAUCCUUUGCGGAUAGAAACUGGAGCUACAUCAUCAAGUACUGGAACCUUUAUGGUUGUUUCUUGAUCCAAAGUUGAGUUUCCCCCCUCAACCGGGGAGGUGGAAGUAUUGAGUGAUACUUUAUCAGAUAGAGACGGACCAGAUACAUCGGCAUGCUGCUGUUGAGCUUCCGGGGACAUAAGAACUUCGGAUAGUCGAGCAGUCUCUAUAGGGUCAAAGAGAUCAUAGUUUAAUUCAACUAUGUUUAAUGGACCUGAGGAGGCAGGAAUAUCACUUUCCAGGAUUGCUUUGGUUUAAGUUGAUGGAGUGAUGUUGCGGACGUAAUAAUCAGCGAAUUUGACAUCGAAGCUUUCGAUUAUUAGUCUUGUGCAUCUAAUGAGAACCCUAUAUGCUACUUUAUUUGUUGAGCAGCCAAGAAAAAUGCCUUCAUCAUACUUUGGUGCGAACUUGUUAAUAUGAUCUUUGUUGUUGAUGACAAAACAUCUACAUCCAAAUAUGUGAAAGAAACGGACAUUUGGUUUACAGUUGUUAAGGCCCUAAUAAGGAGUUUUACUGAGACGCUUGCAAACAAUGCUUCGGUUUUGAACAAACCAUGUCGUGGCCAUUGCUUCGACUCAGAAGUAGAGAGGAAGGUGUGUGAAGUUAAGCAUAGAUCUGGCUGCUUCUACCAGAGUUCGGUUCCUUCGCUCUACUACUCCAUUCUGCUGCAGUGUGUAGGGAGCUGAGAAGUUGUGACUUAUACCUUUUCAAACCAAGAAACUGUUUAACAUGUGAUUGAUAAAUUCGGUUCCGUUAUCACUUCGGUUGCGGCGUACUGGCAAUUUGAUCUAAAUUUCAAUUUCUUUGAUAAAAUUGACAGUAUCUGUGGAGUUUCAGAUUUUAGUGUCAAAAAGAAGACCCAAAUGAAAUGAGUGAAGUCAUCAACUAUAACCAUUAUGUAUCUUUUGUGAUGAAGACUGGCUAUGGUAGUUGGACCAUAAAGAUCAAUGUGCAGGAAUUCCAGUGGUUCAGAAAUCGAAGAAUCAAUCACCAUUGGGUGUCUUGCUUUGGAUUGUUUGCCACAUUCAUAUGCAGGACAGAGUGUAUCAUUGCUAAAUUUGAGAAUUUGGAGACCUCAGACGAGUUCUCUGUUGACCAUAUUGUUGAUAUAUUUGUAAUUAAGAUGAGCUAGCGUGCGGUGCCAUAGCCAGCUAACUUCAGAUACUGCUUUGGAUAGAAAACAUAGUUGUGGGUUGCCAAUAAUCAGAGACAUGUCCAGAGGAUAUAUGGUUCCUUCGGAGUUGGAUUUGAUUAAAUAGGUGCUUCUAUCACAUAGUUGGCCUACACUAAUGAGAUUAUGUUUAAGGCUUUCUACGUAAGCACUGUGUAGUAUCAUAACAAUUGCAUAUAAAUGAAACAUAGCAAAUCCAAACAACAUACAUCAAUAUAACAAGCUUACAUCGUUUUACAUCAUGUUUAUGUUCUCAAAUUUUACACAAAAGAAACAUCGGUAAGCAAUUCCCAAAAUACAACAAAAUAAUCCUGAGUCCCCGAUCCAUAACCUGCUUAUUGGUUUCCUGAGAAUACAAGUCGUUUGAAAAGAGUCAACAUAAAUUAUGUGGGUGAGUUCAUAAGCACUUUCAUGUAAAACUUCGAUGAUAGUUUAGAAAUCUAGAAAAUCCAAUAUUUUCUUAUGAAAAUAGUUGUAAGUCUUGUUUUAAAUCCAGUAUAGUUGCAUGUAUGUCUUAAGUUGUCAUUUUCGAAAUCGUAUAAUAUCGUUUCCUCCAGAAAAUCCUAUAUUUUCUGAUGUAUAAAAUAGUAGCUUUACAAGACAAUAACACUUGUGUGGAAAAGGUCUCAUUUGAGGAAGUCAAAACAGAGUUGAUUGCAAACCAAAGGUGAAAUCUGUAUAAAUACAUUUCUGAUAUAUUCUUGUGAGUCGUUAUAACCAUACUAAUAUGACAAAGUGCCUGUUAUGAUGUUCUUCAGGCGUCGGUUUUGUUUGACAUUUGUCACCCUAGACUGGCUGAUCUAGCUGUAGCGAACAACGAAGGUGCGGGGUGUCAACCCCAUAUAGAUCUAUACACAAAUUUUCGCUCCCCCUCCAGGAGACUCUGGUUAUAGCUCUUACAGGACUUUAGGCGUACACUAUUAUAUAUAAAUAUAUGUACUGUGAAGAUUUUUCUGACUAGAAUACUAACAACUUUUUGAGCAAACCGUUGAAAUCCAUUAUUGGCUAAAUAAUUAGUAAUAGUUGCAUUCGUUGACUAGAUAAUUCAUUUCGUUUCAUUUCGUUUGUUGGGAUUAAUCCAUUUUGAAUAUUUAUCAAAAUGACCCAAUAUUAUCAAAGUCGGCAAAAUGGCUCUUCCCUUCAAAAAUUACUAAGUGAGACCCCAUUUGUCGGAAGGUGUCAAGUUAUGAUUUGUGUAAACUAUGACUUGUGUGAAGUUAUGACAGCAGCUUUAUGACAUGCAAAAUUUUCUAUCAUAAAGGCUCUAUUUGUAUAUUUUUUUAGGUGAAAUUAUUUAUCUCAAUUAUUCAUGAAUAAUGACUAAUAGUUUGCAAAAAGUCACUAAUUUGAUACAAAAUUUUAAUUUUCAAAAGAAUUAUAGAAACAGUGCGAAUAUAUCAAGAUAUAUUUUAACAAAUUUUACUUAUAGACAAGAAGCUAUGGGUAAAAGGGGUAUGCCGGACAUACUCAAAAAUUUGGGAGGCUCCUUUUGUAAACAAAGUAUUCCCUAUGUGGUGAUGAGAAUAUUUUCUGAACUUCAUGAGAUUUGUGAAAUACACGUUCAUGAAAAGUUAAAAUAAAAUAAUAAUAUUUCUACACACAUCUUAACAUAUGUAUACAUGCAAAUAUUCAAGAAUUUAGCACAAAAGUUGACUGGUACUCUCCCCCAAAAACAAUAAAAAACUUAGAAAAAGGUGGGGUAUGAAGCUCACCUUGGUUUAGCUUGCUGGGUGCUUUGAAGAGACGUGAGGAAGUUUUCCAAGCUCCAAAACUUGGGAGGUUCUUUAAUCUUUAGAAUAGUCUAAGAAUAAUUUUAUGUGUAAAUAUAAUGAAAUCUUAGGAAUAAUGUGGAGAAUUAUUAUUCAAAGAGGAUAAAUUACUUACAAAAAGAAAUCUGGAAAUUUUCUUUGAAGGAGAUGAGACUUGAAGCUUGAAUAAGUGGAGAGCACCCUUAGGAGUUUUCUGGAAGUGAAAAUGAGAAGUGGAACUUGGUGAGGAAGGGUUCAUGUAUCUAAAUGGGGAGAAAAAAAGUGACUUGACAUUUGCAUGGAGGGCUGGUGGCUAAACCUUAUUUUCUAGGGGUAAUGUGUGUUUUACUGAGAUUUGCAUUGGAAAAGAGGGAUUUACAUCACAUCAUAAAGUCAAACCCCUUUAUCUUCUUAAAAUCUCUUUAAAAAUCUUGCUUAUUAUUUUAUAUAAAUAUGUUUAAAAUAAUUAAUUUUGGUCAAAAAAUAGAGGUUUAAGGGGUCUAAGACAUGAAAAAUAAGAGUUUGGUGUGAUUUUCGACGCCAAAAUGCCAUAAGAUGAUGAAAAAGUCCGAAAAUGACAAAAAUCCUAAGUGGCUUCCGGAGCCUGCGAGGGUCCGAAGUCAAUUGCCACGGUUCCGGAGUCAUCCUCAAGUUUCCGGAGUCAUGCGAGGUCCGAAGUGCUUCCUUCUGAUCAGGAGUCAGGUACGAAGUCCGGUUUGUGAUCCUCGACAUCCCAAUCACAAACUUGAGAGGGCAGAAUCGAGAUUUAAACAUGUCAUUGAAAAGUUCAAUCAGUUUCAAAUCAAUCCAAUUAACACUUAAUAAAUAAUUUUGUUUUUCAUGAUGGAAAUUGGUGAAUCGUCAUUCACCUACCUUCAAAUAUUUUAUAGCUUGGAUUAUGGCAUCCCUCUUCCAGUUAUAAAGUAUUGUUUUGGGUCCUAGCCUUAAUAUUACAUUUGGGUGUCUUAUUAAGGAUUCUAUAUCUAAUAUAAACUUGUCUUUUUUCUUUUCAGAUGUCUUCCAACAAUGCUGCUUCUGGCUCAAACCCUACCUGAUCCUUCUCUUUCAUGAACCUUUGUAGGAGAGUCAUCUUUGAUGAUUCAAACUUUAAUGACUAGAUCAGGAACAUCAGGAUGGUCACACAUUACGGGGACAAGGAAUAUGUCCUCGACAAGGAGCUUAAAGAAAUUGAGGAGUCUACUACUACUUCAAAGGAGAUCGUUGACCUUAGGUCACAUGAGAGAGAUGCUACCAAGGUAGACUUGAUGGAUCGCUACCAUCAGAGUGCUCGUCAAGAGAGAUAUGAACUCAUCUCUUCCAUGAUAACAACCCGAAUGAAGGAUAGUGAAUCCAUCACAGGUCACAUGCAGAAAAUGAAAAGGUUUGUGGACCGUUUGCUGAAGUUGAAUGUGAAAUUCCUCGAGGAGUUGGCUAUUGACAUCAUACUGUACUCCUUAUCUACUUGUUAUGAUUAGUUCCAAAAGACCUAUCACAUGAACAAGGAGAAGGUCACACUUAGUAAGCUUCAAGUAGUUUUGAAGACUGCCGAAAGUGGUCUCAAUGGUAAAUCAGUUGUUACUACUCCUAAUCCUAACACCACCCCUGUUUUGGCAAUCGGGAAGAGUAGAGGGAAGAAGAGGAAGACCCCUUCAAAGGGUACCAAGGGAAAUUCUCUUGAUGGCUCCUCUUCGAGUGGAACCAAACGUGUUUCUAUCACUCCUUCCAACCUAAAAGAAGUUGAAUGCUUCUAUUGUCAUGAUAAGGGGCACUAGAAAUGAAACUGCCCCAAGUACCUGCAAGACUUUAAGGAUGGGAAGUUCAAACCUACCCAUGCAGGUAUUUACACUAUAUUGUCUAAUAACUCACCGCAUACUAAUUCUUGGGUCCUUGAUACAGGUUGUAGUAUUCAUAUAUGUUCUAAUUUGCACAGCCUAAGAGAAGUGAGGAUGUGGAGCACCAAAAGAUAAACUUGAUAAUGGGGAAUAUGAAAGCUUCACUUGUCACCAAGAUUGGAGUUUAUUCUUUGUUGCUAAGUAGUUGGUUAGUGUUAGAUUUGAAUAAGUGUUGUUACUCAUCUGAAAUGGCGAGAAAUAUUUUUUCUUUUCACGGUUUGUACAAACAACGAUUUACGCUUUCAUUUGAUAAUGUAUGUGGUCGUAUUAAUGCUUUUUAUAAUAUUGUUCUUUAUUUUAAAGCAUUACCUUGUGAUGGUGUAUAUGAAACUGUGUCGGUUGUAGACAACUUAGGAAAUAAUGUGUUUUAUAUCGAUUCUUCUACUAGUUUGGAUAAGGCAUGCUUGUGGAAUUGUCGUCUUGGACAAGUCAACAAGAAGCGCAUAGGCGAACUCCAAAAGGCUGGAGUCUUGGAGUCAUUGACUUAAAGUUGGAUGAUAGUUGCGAGUCUUGUUUGCUUGGAAAAAUGAUAAAAUCACCCUUCACUGGUACUUGUGCUAGGGGUGAAGGUUUGUUGGACCUCAUACACACAGAUGUGUGUGGACCCUUCAUAACCACCACUAGGGAUGCUAACCGCUUCUAUGUAACUUUUACUAAUGAUUACAGUAGAUAUGGUUAUGUCUACUUAAUCAAGCAUAUGCCAGAAACCUUUGAAAAGGUCAAAGAGUUUAAAUAGAAAAUAGAGAAUAAGUUGGGCAGGAACAUUAAUAUGCUCCCAUCCGAUCGAGGAGGAGAGUAUCUUAGUAUAGAGCUCCUUGACUAUCUUAAGGAAUGUGGAAUUGUUUCACAAUUGACACCUCCUAGGACACCACAGUUGAAUGGUAUGGCUGAGAGGCAUAAUCGAACCUUGUUGGAUAUGGUUCGUUCCAUGAUGAGUCGAGCUUCAUUACCAAUCUCAUUCUAGGAGUAUGCCUUAGAGACUACCACCCGUAUCCUUAAUCUAGUCCCUACCAAGAAGGUUGCCAAAACACCUCAUGAGAUGUGGACUAGCAAAGUUCCCAAUUUAGACCACAUCAAGGUUUGGGGUUGUGAGGCUUUCAUGAGACGUGAGACUCAGGACAAGAUCGAACCUCAUAGUGAGCGAUAUAUUUUAAUCGGCUACCCACAAAGAUCCGUUGGUUACCUCUUCUACAGACCCAGUGAAAAUGUGUUCUUUGUGGCAAGGAGAGGGGUCUUUCAAGAGAGAGAGAAAAUUUAUACGCUAAGGACACAGUCAGAGGCAAAUUGAUGUUGAAGAGCUUCAAGAGUCAAUUGGUGAAGGAACCUCAAACCUUGGCAAUCAACCUGAGGAGGAAACUCAUGUUGAGCCAACUGAAGAGUUUGUACCUCUGAGGCGUUCCAUUAGAGUUAGGAAUGCACCUAAACACUAUUAUGGUUUCCAUAUUACUCCGGAAGGUGAUACAUCUAUCAGUGAUAGUACACUGGUAAAUUUGGAUGAACCUAACAGCUAUAGGGAAGCCAUGGCAGGCCCUGAGUCUGCUACAUGGAAAGAGGCUAUGGACAGCAAGAUCCAGUCCAUGUAUGAAUAUCAAGUUUGGAACUUGGUUGACAAUGUACCAGGUCGUAAGAUGGUCGGGUGCAAAUGGUUCUUCAAGAAGAAGACCUACAUGGAUGGAAAAGUGCACACUUAUAAGGCGCGACUGGUUGCAAAGGGUCUCACUUAAACUCUGGGAGUUGACUGUGAUGAAACCUUUUCAUCAGUAGCAAAGAUUAAGUAUAUUAGGAUUAUGGUAGCCAUUGCUGCAUUUCAUGAUUAUGAAAUAUGGCAAAUAGAUGUCAAAACCGCUUUACUUAAUAGAAAGUUGGCUGAGGAUGUUUAUAUGAGUUAGCCAGAGGGUUUUGUCAGUGCAUAGUACCCUAAUAGAGUGUGUAAGCUUGAGAAAUCCAUUCAUUGAUUAACACAAGCAUCUCGCAGCUGGAAUCUUUGUUUUGAUGAGAAAGUCAAAGAGUUUGGUUUUUCGAGAAGCGAAGAUGAGUCUUGUGUAUAUGUUAGAGCUAGUGGGAGUAUAGUUAACUUUUUGGUAUUGUAUGUGGAUGACAUACUACUCAUGGGAACUGACAUCCCAACCUUGCAGGAGGUUAUGUCCUAGCAUAGGAAGUGUUUCGCUAUGAAGGACCUUGGGGAAGGUAUCUAUAUUCUAGGGAUAAGGAUAUUGACAGAAAGGAGUAAAAGUCUAAUUGGACUUAGUCAAAGCACCUAUGUGGACAAAGUGUUGAAAAGGUUCAACAUUCAUAAUUCCAUGAAAGGUGAUUUGCCGAUCCAGCAUAAUGCUAAACUGAGCGAAGCUCAGUGUCCGAGUACAAAGGCUGAGAUAGCUGAGAUGAGUCGAUUACCAUAUGCUUCCGCUAUUGGCUCAAUCAAGUAUGCUAUGACUUGUACCCACCCUGAUGUGGCCUUUGCUUUGAGCAUGGUCAGCAGAUAUCAGGGGAAUCCUGGCAAGGUUCACUGAACUGUGGUGAAGAACAUUCUCAAGUACAUGCGAAGGACUAAGGAUUAGGUCCUUACCCUUUGUGGGAGUGAUGACUUGAGAGUAGUAGGGUAUAGUGAUGCUAGCUUUCAGACUGAUAUGGAUAAUUUCUGAUCUCAGUCGGGUUGGGUCUUUACCAUGAACGGAGGAGCAAUUUCAUGGAAAAGUUCCAAGCAAGAGACGGUAGCUGAUUCGACAUGUGAAUCAGAGUACAUAACAGCGAGUGAAGCGGCAAAGGAGGCGAUAUGGCUAAGGAACUUCAUCAGAGACCUUGGAGUUGUACCAGCUAUAAAGGAGCCUAUAGAGAUUUUCUAUGACAACAAUAAUGCGGUUGCCUUAGCCAAGG